GGGGAUUUAGCUCAGCGGCAUAAGCGCCUGCCUUGCAAGCAGGCGGUCGUGAGUUCGAUCUCCAGUACCGA
Molecule: transfer RNA, 71 nt
Filed under: Cavia porcellus (domestic guinea pig)
Lineage: Eukaryota; Metazoa; Chordata; Mammalia; Rodentia; Caviidae
Rfam family: tRNA
About the family: Transfer RNA (tRNA) molecules are approximately 80 nucleotides in length. Their secondary structure includes four short double-helical elements and three loops (D, anti-codon, and T loops). Further hydrogen bonds mediate the characteristic L-shaped molecular structure. tRNAs have two regions of fundamental functional importance: the anti-codon, which is responsible for specific mRNA codon recognition, and the 3' end, to which the tRNAs corresponding amino acid is attached (by aminoacyl-tRNA synthetases). tRNAs cope with the degeneracy of the genetic code in two manners: having more than one tRNA (with a specific anti-codon) for a particular amino acid; and 'wobble' base-pairing, i.e. permitting non-standard base-pairing at the 3rd anti-codon position.
Source: Rfam by way of RNAcentral